RNAcentral lists this transfer RNA (72 nucleotides) under Camelus bactrianus (Bactrian camel). It matches the Rfam family "tRNA". From Rfam's summary of the family: Transfer RNA (tRNA) molecules are approximately 80 nucleotides in length. Their secondary structure includes four short double-helical elements and three loops (D, anti-codon, and T loops). Further hydrogen bonds mediate the characteristic L-shaped molecular structure. tRNAs have two regions of fundamental functional importance: the anti-codon, which is responsible for specific mRNA codon recognition, and the 3' end, to which the tRNAs corresponding amino acid is attached (by aminoacyl-tRNA synthetases). tRNAs cope with the degeneracy of the genetic code in two manners: having more than one tRNA (with a specific anti-codon) for a particular amino acid; and 'wobble' base-pairing, i.e. permitting non-standard base-pairing at the 3rd anti-codon position. The record is from Rfam by way of RNAcentral. RNAcentral also lists the same sequence under 2 other names. Lineage: Eukaryota; Metazoa; Chordata; Mammalia; Artiodactyla; Camelidae.
GUGGGUAUAGCUCAGUGGCACAACACAUGCUUGGCCUGCAUGAGGAACUGGGUUCCAUCCCCAGUGCCUCCA